CUUACGGGAGGCACCAGUGGGGAAAUUUCCGCAAUGGGGGAAAGCCUGACGGAGCAAUGCGGCGUGGAGGUAAAAGGCCCACGGGUCAACAACCCCCCCUGGGAGGAGGGACAUGGCGUAUCUCCAGAGNAGGGNNNUUUC
Molecule: ribosomal RNA, 141 nt
Filed under: bacterium
Lineage: Bacteria
Description: partial 16S ribosomal RNA
Rfam family: Bacterial small subunit ribosomal RNA
Source: RNAcentral